Molecule: ribosomal RNA, 229 nt
Filed under: Gemmiger formicilis
Lineage: Bacteria; Bacillati; Bacillota; Clostridia; Eubacteriales; Oscillospiraceae
Description: partial 23S ribosomal RNA
Rfam family: Bacterial large subunit ribosomal RNA
Source: RNAcentral
GGUUCGUCCGCUCCAAGUUAGGCGGGAGCUAAGGUGAGGCCGAAAGGCGUAGCCGAUGCACAGACGGUAGAGAUUCCGUCCCCACCGAAAGAUUUAAGCGCAGGGACACUUUUAAAAGGUCAGAGCCGGGUGUUGGUUCCGGUAGUGAUCGAGGGAAAUAUAGUACCGAAGUCUGGCUGGAUGAGAGGCGAGAAAAGCUGCGUGUAUAUCUAAGGUGCCCGUACCGCAA